Molecule: long non-coding RNA, 2203 nt
Organism: Clupea harengus (Atlantic herring)
Lineage: Eukaryota; Metazoa; Chordata; Actinopteri; Clupeiformes; Clupeidae
Exons: 2
Source: RefSeq, a predicted model, not a curated record
AUAUAUAUAAAUACUGCUGUCCCAGGUAUUGAUUUUUAUUCUUUAAACUAUUUAUUAAGCGGCAGACAAUGGCUUCAGCACUGGAGCCAACCCAAGCCCUCACACACACUCUCACACACACACGCCCACACACACACACUCACACACACACACACACACUCACACACACUCACACACACACACAGUCUCACACACACACGCCCAAUCACUACGUCCAAAAAACCGUAUUGACUGCAUUGCCACCGUAUUGUUCUGUUUUGUUUGACUGAGAUUUGGAAGUGAAAUGUGUUUUUGUUUGCAGUGUUGAUUUGUCUAGAGGUUAAUGAUCAGAACUGAUCGAGUUAUUGAUUAAGGUUGAUGCCUGAUGUAGGUCUAUGUCUAUGGCUACUAAGACGCAUACAUCUGAGUUAUUGAUUAAGGUUGAUGCCUGAUGUAAGUGAUUGAUUGGAAGUAUUGGAGUCCAGACCAAAAGCACAACUGGCCUGAUGUGUUUAUUGGUUGUCAACUUGAAUCUGUGUGUGUUGAGUGUGUUGUGUGUGUUGUGUGUGUUGUGUGUGUGUGUGUGUGUGUGUGUGUGUGUGUGUGUGUGUGUGUGUGUGUGUGUUAAGAUGCCCCCUGUUUAUGUCACCAGCAUGUCCUCAGACCAGCCAGUCCAGUUCGGACCCUGACCCUAUGUGACCCCUGACCCUAUGUGACCCCGACCCUAGGUGACCCUCAUCAGGGUGUAAUGGACCACAACACAUAGAUCAGAUACCUAAGAGUUUCUACACAAUCACCCCAUCAGGUGUGUGUGUGUGUGUGUGUCCAGGUUUGCUGUUUAACAAUGAGAUGUGUUCCCUGCAGAGCGUAUGUGAGGCGAGUGCUAGAAUGAGCCGACUGUAAUAAAGCACUGUGUGUAGGCAACUCCUGUGGCAAUGCUACAGAUAGUUAUUCCACCAGCUAAAGCUAGCCUUUCCUCCAGCUAAAGCUAGCCUUUGCUCCAGCUAGAGCUAGCCUUUCCUCCAGCUAAAGCUAGCUAUUCAACCAGCUAGAGCUAGCCUUUCCUCCAGCUAAAGCUAGCUAUUCCACCAGCUAGAGCUAGCCUUUCCUCCAGCUAAAGCUAGCUAUUCCACCAGCUAAAGCUAGCCUUUCCUCCAGCUAAAGCUAGCCUUUCCUCCAGCUAAAGCUAGCUAUUCCACCAGCUAAUAGCUAUUCCACCAGCUAAUAGCUAUUCCACCAGCUAGAGCUAGCUAUUCCACCAGCUAGAGCUAGCCUUUCCUCCAGCUAAAGCUAGCUAUUCCACCAGCUAAAGCUAGCCUUUGCUCCAGCUAAAGCUAGCCUUUCCUCCAGCUAAAGCUAGCUAUUCCACCAGCUAAAGCUAGCCUUUGCUCCAGCUAAAGCUAGCCUUUCCUCCAGCUAAAGCUAGCUAUUCCACCAGCUAAAACCAUUUUCUCCUCCAGCUAAAGCUAGCCUUUGCUCCAGCUAAAGCUCGCUGGUAUUGACGGGAAGCAGGGAAGCAGUGUGCCAGUCAAACCUCACUGUUGUGUUCAGAUGGAAAUACGCUGUUAGGGUCUGAAUGUUGUUUAGUCAUGUGGUGUGGGUGUGGACGGCAGACCUCACACACACGUACUCACACACACGUACUCUCACACACACCUACUCUCACACACACCUACUCACACUUUUAAACACUCUUUAGUUCAAAAGGUUAUAAUAUUAGUAUUUUCAUACUGUUUUCACUGUCAUGUUGUUGAUGCUCAUGCCUUACUGUAUAUGAUCACAUAUGUUCAUAAAUCACCAUAGUAACUCUGUAUAUGAUCACAUAUGUUCAUAAAUCACCAUAGUAACUCUGUAUAUGAUCAUAUAUGUUCAUACAUCACCAUGGUAACUCUGUAUAUGAUCACAUAUGUUCAUAAAUCACCAUAGUAACUCUGUAUAUGAUCACAUAUGUUCAUACAUCACCAUAUGUGUGUGUGUGUGUUCAUACAUCACCAUAUGUAUGUGUGUGUGUGUGUGUGUGUGUUCAUAAAUCACCAUAGUAACUCUGUAUAUGAUCACAUAUGUUCAUAAAUCACCAUAGUAACUCUGUAUAUGAUCACAUAUGUGUGUGUGUGUGUGUGUGUGUUCAUACAUCACCAUAUGUAUGUGUGUGUGUGUGUGUGUGUGUUCACAUAUCACCAUAUGCCAGUAACUCUUCAACUUUAAUAAAAUCUAAACAUGCUAA